AACGCGAAGAACCUUACCUCGGCUUGACAUGCACGUGGUACCAACACGUAAGUGAAGGGACCCGCAAGGGAGCGUGCACAGAUGCUGCAUGGCUGUCGUCAGCUCGUGCCGUGAGGUGUUGGGUUAAGUCCCGCAACGAGCGCAACCCUCGUCGAGUGUUGCCAUCAUUAAGUUGGGCACUCACUCGAGACCGCCGUUGAUAAGACGGAGGAAGGUGGGGAUGACGUCAAGUCAGCAUGGCCCUUACGUCCUGGGCUACACACGUGCUACAAUGGCCGGAACAACGGGCAGCCAGACCGCGAGGUCGAGCGAAUCCCAUAAAGCCGGUCUCAGUUCGGAUUGCAGGCUGCAACUCGCCUGCAUGAAGUCGGAAUCGCUAGUAACCGCAGAUCAGCUACGCUGCGGUGAAUACGUUCCCGGGCCUUGUACACACCGCUACAGU
This 442-nucleotide ribosomal RNA is filed under the name uncultured bacterium. RNAcentral's name for it is "bacterial SSU rRNA". It matches the Rfam family "Bacterial small subunit ribosomal RNA", at positions 958 to 1401 of the family's 1533-position model. The record is from RNAcentral.